UGGUGAAGGGAAGUGCGAACUCAAGAGAACAACCAUCACUUCCUGUAACAACAACAAGAUGACGUUCUGCAUGAACCCUAUCAACACAUACAGGCCUCUCAUCACCGUCUCUGGCUACACCUCUAAUAGAUGCACCGCCGAUCUAGUUGGAGAUAUAACUGACAAUCAAAACAGGAUCCCAUCGGAUAUACAAGGACAGUGUCUCACUGUCGGCUUCAGUGGCACAUGUGGAUCAUACAACGCCAUAUCACAGGAUGGGAAUGUGUGUUAUACAAUUCCAUACCGCAUCCAGUACAACCCUAACAUGAUGACGGCCACAGAUGAAGUUGUGUACGCUAAAUGCUGUGUCAACCAA
Molecule: long non-coding RNA, 355 nt
Organism: Haliotis rubra (blacklip abalone)
Lineage: Eukaryota; Metazoa; Mollusca; Gastropoda; Lepetellida; Haliotidae
Exons: 3
Source: RefSeq, a predicted model, not a curated record